GAUGUCCCCUGCGCAAGGAUGACAUGCAAAUUCGUGAAGCAUUCUAUAUUUUG
Molecule: small nuclear RNA, 53 nt
Filed under: Erinaceus europaeus (western European hedgehog)
Lineage: Eukaryota; Metazoa; Chordata; Mammalia; Eulipotyphla; Erinaceidae
Source: RNAcentral